GAUGAACGCUGACAGAAUGCUUAACACAUGCAAGUCUUUGGCGAAUCUGUGCUUGCACAGGCUAGCCAAGGCGGACGGGUGAGUAACGCGUAAAGAACUUGCCCUGCAGACAGGGAUAACAGACGGAAACGACUGAUAACACCUGAUACAGUUGCCGGCACGCAUGUGCCUGGCAAUGAAAAGAGAUGCUGCAGGAGAGCUUUGCGUCCUAUUAGCUUGUUGGUGAGGUGACGGCUCACCAAGGCGAUGAUAGGUAGCCGGCCUGAGAGGGUGAACGGCCACAAGGGGACUGAGAUACGGCCCGUACUCCUACGGGAGGCAGCAGUGGGGAAUAUUGGACAAUGGGGGCAACCCUGAUCCAGCAAUUCUGUGUGCACGAAGAAGGUUUUCGGAUUGUAAAGUGCUUUCAGCAGGGAAGAAGAAAGUGACGGUACCUGCAGAAGAAGCGACGGCGAAAUACGU
RNAcentral lists this ribosomal RNA (462 nucleotides) under uncultured bacterium. RNAcentral describes it as "partial 16S ribosomal RNA". It matches the Rfam family "Bacterial small subunit ribosomal RNA", at positions 28 to 506 of the family's 1533-position model. The record is from RNAcentral.